Molecule: microRNA precursor, 208 nt
Filed under: Triticum aestivum (bread wheat)
Lineage: Eukaryota; Viridiplantae; Streptophyta; Magnoliopsida; Poales; Poaceae
Description: MIR1435 microRNA precursor family
Rfam family: MIR1435 microRNA precursor family
Source: Rfam by way of RNAcentral
UAGCUUUGUCCUAGGUCUAAUUUUCUGAAGUUUGACCAAAUUUAUAGAAAAACCUACUAAUGUCCACAACAUCAAAUAUAUAUGGUAUGAAAAUAUAUUUUAUGAUGAAUGCUGAAUCUAAUGAAACUAAUUUGGUGUUGUAGAUGUUGGUAUAUUUUUUCUGUAUACCUGGCCAAACAUAAAGAAGUUUGACUUAGGACAAACCUAG